AAAUUGAAGAGUUUGAUCAUGGCUCAGAUUGAACGCUGGCGGCAGGCCUAACACAUGCAAGUCGAACGGUAACAGGAAGCAGCUUGCUGCUUUGCUGACGAGUGGCGGACGGGUGAGUAAUGUCUGGGAAACUGCCUGAUGGAGGGGGAUAACUACUGGAAACGGUAGCUAAUACCGCAUAACGUCGCAAGACCAAAGAGGGGGACCUUCGGGCCUCUUGCCAUCGGAUGUGCCCAGAUGGGAUUAGCUAGUAGGUGGGGUAACGGCUCACCUAGGCGACGAUCCCUAGCUGGUCUGAGAGGAUGACCAGCCACACUGGAACUGAGACACGGUCCAGACUCCUACGGGAGGCAGCAGUGGGGAAUAUUGCACAAUGGGCGCAAGCCUGAUGCAGCCAUGCCGCGUGUAUGAAGAAGGCCUUCGGGUUGUAAAGUACUUUCAGCGGGGAGGAAGGGAGUAAAGUUAAUACCUUUGCUCAUUGACGUUACCCGCAGAAGAAGCACCGGCUAACUCCGUGCCAGCAGCCGCGGUAAUACGGAGGGUGCAAGCGUUAAUCGGAAUUACUGGGCGUAAAGCGCACGCAGGCGGUUUGUUAAGUCAGAUGUGAAAUCCCCGGGCUCAACCUGGGAACUGCAUCUGAUACUGGCAAGCUUGAGUCUCGUAGAGGGGGGUAGAAUUCCAGGUGUAGCGGUGAAAUGCGUAGAGAUCUGGAGGAAUACCGGUGGCGAAGGCGGCCCCCUGGACGAAGACUGACGCUCAGGUGCGAAAGCAUGGGGAGCAAACAGGAUUAGAUACCCUGGUAGUCCACGCCGUAAACGAUGUCGACUUGGAGGUUGUGCCCUUGAGGCGUGGCUUCCGGAGCUAACGCGUUAAGUCGACCGCCUGGGGAGUACGGCCGCAAGGUUAAAACUCAAAUGAAUUGACGGGGGCCCGCACAAGCGGUGGAGCAUGUGGUUUAAUUCGAUGCAACGCGAAGAACCUUACCUGGUCUUGACAUCCACGGAAGUUUUCAGAGAUGAGAAUGUGCCUUCGGGAACCGUGAGACAGGUGCUGCAUGGCUGUCGUCAGCUCGUGUUGUGAAAUGUUGGGUUAAGUCCCGCAACGAGCGCAACCCUUAUCCUUUGUUGCCAGCGGUCCGGCCGGGAACUCAAAGGAGACUGCCAGUGAUAAACUGGAGGAAGGUGGGGAUGACGUCAAGUCAUCAUGGCCCUUACGACCAGGGCUACACACGUGCUACAAUGGCGCAUACAAAGAGAAGCGACCUCGCGAGAGCAAGCGGACCUCAUAAAGUGCGUCGUAGUCCGGAUUGGAGUCUGCAACUCGACUCCAUGAAGUCGGAAUCGCUAGUAAUCGUGGAUCAGAAUGCCACGGUGAAUACGUUCCCGGGCCUUGUACACACCGCCCGUCACACCAUGGGAGUGGGUUGCAAAAGAAGUAGGUAGCUUAACCUUCGGGAGGGCGCUUACCACUUUGUGAUUCAUGACUGGGGUGAAGUCGUAACAAGGUAACCGUAGGGGAACCUGCGGUUGGAUCACCUCCUU
Molecule: ribosomal RNA, 1541 nt
Filed under: Escherichia coli
Lineage: Bacteria; Pseudomonadati; Pseudomonadota; Gammaproteobacteria; Enterobacterales; Enterobacteriaceae
Description: bacterial SSU rRNA
Rfam family: Bacterial small subunit ribosomal RNA
Source: RNAcentral